RNAcentral lists this ribosomal RNA (469 nucleotides) under uncultured bacterium. Its description in RNAcentral is "bacterial SSU rRNA". It matches the Rfam family "Bacterial small subunit ribosomal RNA", at positions 8 to 526 of the family's 1533-position model. The record is from RNAcentral.
AGAGUUUGAUCCUGGCUCAGAACGAACGCUGGCGGCAGGCCUAAUACAUGCAAGUCGAACGAACCUUCGGGUUAGUGGCGCACGGGUGCGUAACGCGUGGGAAUGUACACCUUGGUGCGGAAUAACGUCGGGAAACUGACGCUAAUACCGCAUAAUGACUCCGGUCCAAAGAUUUAUCGCCAAGGGAUCAGCCCGCGUUAGAUUAGCUAGUUGGUGAGGUAAUGGCUCACCAAGGCGACGAUCUAUAGCUGGUCUGAGAGGAUGAUCAGCCACACUGGGACUGAGACACGGCCCAGACUCCUACGGGAGGCAGCAGUGGGGAAUAUUGGACAAUGGGGGAAACCCUGAUCCAGCCAUGCCGCGUGAGUGAAGAAGGCCUUAGGGUUGUAAAGCUCUUUUGCUGGGAAGAUAAUGACUGUACCAGGAGAAUAAGCCCCGGCUAGCUUCGUGCCAGCAGCCGCGGUAAUAC